This 23-nucleotide small nuclear RNA is filed under the name Arabidopsis thaliana (thale cress). RNAcentral's name for it is "snRNA_08329". Lineage: Eukaryota; Viridiplantae; Streptophyta; Magnoliopsida; Brassicales; Brassicaceae. The record is from RNAcentral.
AUUGAGAUAUCAUGUGGGUAUCU